Molecule: non-coding RNA, 1738 nt
Organism: Lactuca sativa (garden lettuce)
Lineage: Eukaryota; Viridiplantae; Streptophyta; Magnoliopsida; Asterales; Asteraceae
Source: RefSeq, a predicted model, not a curated record
AGCACGACUUCGCACUUUUAGGGAUAACGAUAAUAUAGAACGAGGUCAAGAACUGACGCCGGAAAUCGAGAGAGCAAUCACACAAUCUAGGGCUUCUAUAAUUGUAUUGUCGGAGAGAUAUGCGAAUUCCAGAUGUUGCUGCUGAUCCUUGCGCAGAGGCGGAACUUUAAUCAUUUCAUUUUACCGAUUUUUUACCAUGUCAGGAACCACAGACGAAAUUUUGAGAUAGAAGUGACAGGGUCAAAACGGACAGAGUAUAAAGUCAAUCGAUGGAAGGCAGCCCUUACAGAGGUUGCUGAUUUGAUCGGAAUGAUUGCUUCUGGAUUCAGGUAUGCAAGCAUCAUGUCUCUUCUUUUGCUUAUAUUGCUUUGAAUGUAUGCAAACUGCAAAGAGCAGAACCAGGUAAUUACAUGCUUACAUGUGUGUGUUUGUGUUUGUGUUUGUGUUGGAGAAAUUACAUUGAAGACAAGAUAGAACAGGAAAGUUUCUUGUGUAACAAAACAGAAUUUUUAUUUAUCACUUGUAACAACAUUUUACAUCAUAUUACAUACACAUGUAGCCUAUGAAGCCAUCACAACCGAUAACUAAUGUGCCUCUUAAGAAGACACCCCUACACAAAUUGUUGCAACCUUUCAUUUGUGGUUGAUAAUUUAACUGCUGCCUAACUAUAAUUGCCAAAUUAACCGUAAUAAAUUUGAAGUAAACUUUAGUCUAGAUUAACUUUCAACAGUUUGUAUAAUUGAAAUUUUCAUUUGAUCUGAGAAAUAUAUUUUCUGUCACUUAUGUAUAGAUAUCAUGCCAUUCUCACCCUUGUGCUUAUUUUCUUUAUUCUUUUCACACAGGUCUGAAGACUCUGAAGUAGACUUUAUUGCGAAAAUUGUUGAUAUAGUUAAUUAUAAACUAGAUAUGAAACUAGCUACUCCAGCUAAUCUAAUAGGAAUGGAUUCUCGAGCUAGAUUUAUCAACUCUUUGUUGGAAAAUGAGCAAUCUGGGGAUAAUGCUCUAGCAAUUUGUGGCAUGGGUGGUAUUGGAAAGACACUGGCUCAAUUCAUUUACAACUCAAACAAACAAAAAUUUUGAAGUAGCAGUUACCUUGAAGAGAUUGGAAAUCAUUAUAAACAAUCAGAUGGUUUGCUUGGGCUACAGAAACAACUUCUUAGAGACAUUCUACGGGGAAAGAAUGUGAGUAUAUUUAGUGUAUCUGAAGGUACGAGGAGUGUUGAGGAGGCAUUACAAGUGAAAAAUAUGUUUAUUGUUCUUGAUGACAUUGAUGAACAUGAUGAAUUAAGCGCUUUACUUGGAACAAUCGCUUUUCAUGCACAAAUCAAGAUCAUAAUAACAACUAGGCAUUUAGAUAUACGUUCAUGGUUUAGGUCCAUAUCUUGGAGCUGUAGGAUGCAUGAACUUGAAUUGUUGAAUGAUCAUGAAUCAUUAGAGCUUUUAAGUCACCAUGCAUUUGGAUUCCAGACGCCUAUGGAAGAUUUCAAGGAGCUUGCAGUUCAAUUAGCACAUUAUUGUGGUGGAAGCCCACUAGCUCUUAAAGGGUGGAAGCCCACUAGCUCUUAAAGUACUAGGUUAUUCUUUAUCUGUUGAUCUGUGAGGAAAAAAUAGCAUGAUAGAAUUUUGGAGAAGUUCAUUGAAUUUGUUGAAAGGAGAUUCUGAUUGUAAAAUUCAAGGUAUACUACAAAAGAGAUUUGAAUCAUUUACCACAUGCCUGUAAUAAAGAGUUGUUUUUGCA